RNAcentral lists this ribosomal RNA (465 nucleotides) under uncultured bacterium. RNAcentral's name for it is "partial 16S ribosomal RNA". It matches the Rfam family "Bacterial small subunit ribosomal RNA", at positions 338 to 795 of the family's 1533-position model. The record is from RNAcentral.
CCUACGUGAGGCAGCAGUAGGGAAUCUUCCACAAUGGACGAAAGUCUGAUGGAGCAACGCCGCGUGAGUGAAGAAGGGUUUCGGCUCGUAAAGCUCUGUGGGCAGUGAAGAAAGAUAGAGGUAGUAACUGGCCGUUAUUUGACGGUAAUUACUUAGAAAGUCACGGAUAACUACGUGCCAGCAGCCGCGGUAAUACGUAGGUGGCAAGCGUUGUCCGGCGUUAUUGGGCGGAAAGCGAGUGCAGGCGGUUCAAUAAGUAUGAUGUGAAAGCCUUCGGCUCAACCGGAGAAUUGCAUCAGAAACGGUUGAACUUGAGUGCUGAUGAGGAGAGUGGAACUCCAUGUGUAGCGGUGGAAUGCGUAUAUAUAUGGAAGAACACCAGUGGCGAAGGCGGCUCUCUGGUCUGCAACUGACGCUGAGGCUCGAAAGCAUGGGUAGCGAACAGGAUUAGAUACCCCUGUAGUC